Molecule: ribosomal RNA, 411 nt
Filed under: Escherichia coli
Lineage: Bacteria; Pseudomonadati; Pseudomonadota; Gammaproteobacteria; Enterobacterales; Enterobacteriaceae
Also listed under: 2 other names
Description: partial 23S ribosomal RNA
Rfam family: Bacterial large subunit ribosomal RNA
Source: RNAcentral
GGUUAAGCGACUAAGCGUACACGGUGGAUGCCCUGGCAGUCAGAGGCGAUGAAGGACGUGCUAAUCUGCGAUAAGCGUCGGUAAGGUGAUAUGAACCGUUGUAACCGGCGAUUUCCGAAUGGGGAAACCCAGUGUGAUUCGUCACACUAUCAUUAACUGAAUCCAUAGGUUAAUGAGGCGAACCGGGGGAACUGAAACAUCUAAGUACCCCGAGGAAAAGAAAUCAACCGAGAUUCCCCCAGUAGCGGCGAGCGAACGGGGAGCAGCCCAGAGCCUGAAUCAGUGUGUGUGUUAGUGGAAGCGUCUGGAAAGGCGCGCGAUACAGGGUGACAGCCCCGUACACAAAAAUGCACAUAUUGUGAGCUCGAUGAGUAGGGCGGGACACGUGGUAUCCUGUCUGAAUAUGGGGGG